CAAAUAUGUCUCUUCGAACUGAUAAAAUUAGAUCGAUACAGAGAAGAUUAGUAUGGCCCCUGCAUAAAGAACUAAAGGUGACAUACAAGUCGGUCCAAAUUUAU
Non-coding RNA from Spinacia oleracea (spinach), 104 nucleotides. NCBI's taxonomy places the organism in Eukaryota, Viridiplantae, Streptophyta, Magnoliopsida, Caryophyllales, Amaranthaceae. The record is from Rfam.